Molecule: ribosomal RNA, 541 nt
Filed under: uncultured fungus
Lineage: Eukaryota; Fungi
Description: SSU rRNA
Rfam family: Eukaryotic small subunit ribosomal RNA
Source: RNAcentral
UGGUAGGAUAGAGGCUACCAUGGUUUUAACGGGUAACGGGGAAUUAGGGUUCGAUUCCGGAGAGGGAGCCUGAGAAACGGCUACCACAUCCAAGGAAGGCAGCAGGCGCGCAAAUUACCCAAUCCCGAUACGGGGGAGGUAGUGGACAAUAAAUAACAAUACAGGGCUUUCUAGUCUUGUAAUUGGAAUGAGUACAAUUUAAAUCUCUUAACGAGGAACAAUUGGAGGGCAAGUCUGGUGCCAGCAGCCGCGGUAAUUCCAGCUCCAAUAGCGUAUAUUAAAGUUGGUGCAGUUAAAAAGCUCGUAGUUGAAUUUUAGGCUUGGUUAGACGGUCGCCCUUUGGGUUUGUACUGUCCGGCCGGGCCUUACCUUCUGGUGAGCUGUCGUGUUGUUUACUCAGCGCGGAGGGAACCAGGACUUUUACUUUGAAAAAAUUAGAGUGUUUAAAGCAGGCUUUCGCCUGAAUACAUAGCAUGGAAUAAUAAAAUAGGACUUUGGUUCUAUUUUGUUGGUUUCUAGGACCGAAGUAAUGAUUAAUAGG